GAGAAAAUACUAACAUGGCAGCGUAUGAAAUCUUAACUGAAAAGACUAGGGACUUAAUGAAAGGCAGUCACGUAACAAUAGUAAGGUUGUAUUGCUGCAUCCAGUGAAAGAUAACUUUUAUUUUCUAGGGUUUUGUUUGUUUGGACAGCAAGGAUUCUUUGUCUGUUUUAUUAGCCUGGAGUAUAACUGACAUCAGGAGCCCCGCUAGCUAUUCAUCCGGAAGCCAGAUGUUGAUAAGGAAAAAGCAAAAAAAGCAAAUUAGCACAUGUGCUCCCUUAGACUGCGUGGAUACCCCAGGACCGAAAGAUUCACCAAGCAGUUUUGAAACUUAAAGGAAUUCUGAAAAUCCUUCAUUCUCAGAGAUCAAAAGCUACUGUAAACCUGGCUGCUGUUUGGGUCCCAACAAUUGACAUGAGAUGGAAAUGGAGCUAUGAAAGUGUCUGAGAAAUAUCAGUAUACUGAAAAAAACAAACCCCAAAGCAAACCUGGAGCAGUUCUUCUAAUUGAAGGCUACUUCAAACACUUGUCUCUAAAGGUGCUGCGCUGUUGUGCCUGAUCCAUCGCCUUCCCUGGUUUCCAGAAACUGCUCCAGUAGCAGAAACAGUUGACUUGCAAAGAAAACCCUGUACCUGACCAACUAAAGAGCUGAGGGCUCCAGAGCAUCUGGUUCUUUGGAUGGAUGGACACACAGAUGGAGAAGUUCUGAGUGACUGAACAUUACUGAGGUUAUUCAGCAAGCUGGCACAAAUUUGUUUCUCCUCUAGGAAGCCUGCAGUAGAGCCACAGGCCAUUACAACUGAAAACCUGGAACUAAAAGGACAGAAGCUGGCAGCUGAUGCGUACCCAGCUUCAAGGCCUUCUCUGUUUCUCAUGCUGCUCCACCAACGAGUAGGCUGGGGGUGCACAAGGAGAUGGGGGGUGAAACAGCCAAGGCAGCUGACCCCAACUGACCUAAGGGAUAUCCCAUCCCACACCACAUCGUGCUCAGCAAUAAAAGUCUGAGAACAGUGGUUUGGGAAGUCUCACCUGAUCUGUCUGAAAAUGCCAUCGCAAGGAUCCUUGUGACAAACUUCUGUUGCCUCCCGGACAGCGACCAACCAUCCUGCUAAAGAGAUUUGAUUCCAUCAUGCUUCAAGAAUCCUCAUCACACUUUUCUGAAGUUGAUGUUUAUUUCAUUCAGGAGGCACCUGGAACACAGUUAAUGGAGAGCAGCAGACCUUUCACCUUCAAGCUGCUCUGCCCCGUUCUUUCUGCGGGAAGCUGAGGUGAUGGUGCCUUUUACUUGGAGAGGAGCUUCUGUGCCUGAAACUUGAAGGGGCUGCUGUAAUACAACACUGAAGACUUUGUUGCUUUGCUGCCAGAACGGAGAAACAGAUGUGGUGUCAAAGGCUGCCGCUGCCUCGCUUCUCUGGUGGAGCAGAACCUCUCCCCGCAGGAUCAUUUCAUGUCCAGUGUUUUUGGUCUUCUGUCUUUUCUGAGACAGGAAAUGGCAGUAAUUGUAACAAGGGCUGUUAUGAGAAGAUAUAUUUGACUGGCCAAAAUCAUCCACGGUUAUACGAUAAAGACGAAGACCUCUUCAAUUAAAAAAAGAAAAAAAAUCAGAUGUAGUUUGGGUUUAAAAUUGUGGCUGAAGUUGAGAAGGUUCUCCAUUAUUAGUUCAAGUGGUCCAUUCACAUCUCAUAGGGUACUUUAUAUAGAAGUGCAAAAAAAAAAAAACAAAACUACUGCGUUGUCUCCGAGGUCACUCUUCCUGUUGAUUACCUCCCUUCUAGUUGCAUUUGUUUCAAAACUCAUAGGAUGCAAAUUCAAGGGUGGCAGAGCAUUUUGCUUGUAGGUGUGGUUUGCAGUAAGACUUGUGAUCGCAGAACUUGCUAUAUUUGAGGCCGUUGUGUAGAUCAUUUCAGUCCUGAGGCUGGUUUGGAGAUGUCAGUGCUGCACAGAGCUGCCAUCACCUCUCCUAAAUUGCUUUUUCUUUUUCUUUUUUUUUUUCCUCUUUUUUUCCCCUCCCUGUGUUUUGCAGUUGAGAAUCAAAGGAAUCCCAGCUGUAUUUCCUGAACUAUUUGCUGUAGUGGAAAUGAGGGGCACAGAAGAGAAUUUGUUUUAUGCCUCCCAAGGACUCCUGAAAUUGUUCCUUACGUGCAGUUUUCUGCCUGCCUUGUGUUGUCCAAGCAGUUGCAACUGACCGUUGAUCCUCAAUUCCUGCAUGGGGAGUUUUUAAGAUGAAUGCCUUAGAAAUCAUGACUGGAAAAGCAGAAGUUUCUAGG
This is a long non-coding RNA of Chroicocephalus ridibundus (black-headed gull), 2264 nucleotides long. RefSeq lists it as uncharacterized. Lineage: Eukaryota; Metazoa; Chordata; Aves; Charadriiformes; Laridae. The transcript is spliced from 12 exons. The record is from RefSeq and is a predicted model, not a curated record.